UGGACUUCAAUGAUUUGGAUUCUUGCACUUCACUUGGUGGAAUUAAUAUUAGAAUGUUAGGGUUUGUAAUCCAAGUGAGAAUAUAUACAUUUUAAUAUUAAUUCCACCAAGUGAGGUGCAAGAAUCCAAAUCAUUGAAG
Molecule: microRNA precursor, 139 nt
Filed under: Paramuricea clavata
Lineage: Eukaryota; Metazoa; Cnidaria; Anthozoa; Malacalcyonacea; Plexauridae
Source: RNAcentral